ACAUUUGACUAUACACACUCAUUUAUCGAAUACUAUAAGGGCCCGUUUGACUUAGCUUUUAAAAAAAUAAUUUUUGAAAAAGUGAUUUUAGUUUGGCGAAAUAAUUUUGGUUAAAAGAUAUAGAGUGUUUGGCUAAGUUUAGAUAAAAAUAAUUUUUCUGAAGUGAUUUUGAAAAAUUGUUUGGCAAAUUUUUUUUGAUGUUUGCAUAAAUUAAUAUUUUUAUUAAAUUUAUUUUAAAAUAAUUUAAAAUCUAAAUUUAAAUUUGAAUUAAAAUUAAAAUUUUUUAAUUUCAAAAUUGUACAAAAUUUAAAAUUUGAUAUUUUAAUUCAAAAAAUAAUUUAAAAUUUAAAAUUUAAAAUAAUUAUGAAAUAUAAAAUAUAAAAUUAAAAAUUAAAAAUUUAAAUUUAAAUUUAAAAAUAUAAAUAAUAUUGAAUUUUAAAAUAUAAAAUUUUAAUAUUUAAAAAUAUAAAUUUAAAUUUUAAAUUUCAAAGUUUAAAUUUAAAAUAUAAGAUAUAAAAUAUAAAAUAUAAAAUAUAAAAUAUAAAAUUAAAAGUUAAAAAUUAAAAAUACAAAGAAUUAUGAAAUUCAAAA
RNAcentral lists this long non-coding RNA (591 nucleotides) under Ananas comosus (pineapple). Its description in RNAcentral is "long non-coding RNA (ACOM_LNC004911)". The record is from RNAcentral. Lineage: Eukaryota; Viridiplantae; Streptophyta; Magnoliopsida; Poales; Bromeliaceae.